AUGGGUAAGGAAAGAUUUAUCAGUCAUAAAUCUAACUUGGUUUUUCCUGCAUGGUAUCAUAUCCCUCAAAAAUUAUUAGAUUUUCUCUCUGUUUCCACAGUCAGUGGCAAUAAUCCUGAGGGUGAAGAGCUUCAGACAGAACCUGUAGAGGAUGAAGAUCAUAGAGAAGAGUCUUCAGAUUGUGAUGAAAUGGAUUAUUCCAUGGUCCCUGAGCAGCCUCCAGAUUGCCAAAAAGAAGAAAGGUUAAAUACAUCUAUUCCAAAGGAAAGGAAAAUGAGAAAUCUUUUAGUUACCAUUGAAAAUGAUACUCCUCUAGAAGAUCUCUCAAAAUACGUGGAUAUUAAUGUUAUUGCACUUACCCGAAAUCGUAGAACAAGAAGAUGGUAUACUUGUCCGCUGUGUGGGAAACAGUUUAAUGAGAGUUCUUACCUUAUUUCCCACCAGAGGACUCACACUGGAGAAAAGCCCUAUGACUGCAGUCACUGUGGGAAAAGCUUUAAUCAUAAAACAAACCUUAAUAAGCAUGAGAGAAUCCAUACAGGAGAGAAGCCUUAUUCAUGUUCUCAGUGUGGGAAAAACUUCCGUCAGAAUUCUCAUCGAAGUCGCCAUGAAGGAAUCCAUAUAAGGGAAAAGAUACUUAAGUGUCCAGAAUGUGGGAAAACCUUCCCAGAAAACAAAGAGUUUGUGAUUCACUUGCAGAGUCACAAGGCCAAGAGGCCAUAUGGUUGUAAAAAGUGUGGGAGAAGAUUUGGUCGGCUGUCAAACUGUACCCGGCAUGAAAAAACCCACUCAGCAUGUAAGACCCGAAAACAGAAGUGACAUCAGGGAAAGGUCUGAUGAUACCACCUCAGACUGAAAUAUUCCAUAAAUAAUUCUGAAUUGCCAGGCUGUCUGAAAAGUUACAGACAAGAAAACUUCAUUAUAGCCAAAAUCGGAUAAAUAUUCAAAUUUGCUGAAAUCUCAAGUUUUUAGAAAAUUCACAGGGAAAACAAAACAUCCUCAAGGGCUAUACCUCAGUUAGCAACCAGGCUUUUUGGACUAAAGAGCUUUCUUUUGUGAACUUACGCAACAAUGUACAGCUCACAGAUCCCUUUCCCAAAAAAGGCUUUGAAAUACGAGUCUGGGGGCCACUUACCUUAAGGUGAAGACUGAUAAGUGUACUGAAAGUAUCAGAAUAUUCCAUUCCCCCCCUCACACACACACACAUAGGAUUUCACACCUGAGAAAUAAUGUAAAGAUCCUUAUCUGAAACUGUUCCCCUAAAAGAACCACACUGCCGACUUGGUAAUAAGUCAACAGCUUUUAUUAGCCAUUCAUAUCACCAUCUAACGAUACCCUGAAAGCUUGAGAGAUGAAAGGGAUUGUUUACUUUGGAAUAUAGGAAAACAGCAACUGAAUGUCAAAGACUUACUCCAUUAUUUGUAUGUGAUCUAAAAACUAAUGAUCAAUUUCAAUAGCUUGCAGUUUGUGGUGAAAAGUGACAUUUACAGAAAUCCUCUUCACAGUGUAAUUUAAAAGUGUCUGCUGUUCUUACUGUAUUUUGUCCAGCUGUUAAUUGGUCAAACAGCUCUCUCAUGCCUUUGCCUUGCCAGAAGAAGUUUGGGUCACUCAGGCCUGGCCACCCAGCCCCACUCCUGGAAAAACUUCUGAAUUUUGUCCCUCUGUUGAGUCAGGAAAACCUGCCAGGAAGGAAACCCCAGGAACCUGCAGAGGGGGAGGAAGAUGUUGGCUUGGAUCCGUGGCUGGUCAAGAACCUUGCCAUUUGUUUAGUUCCCAUCAGACCUUUGGCAAUGGGUGGUCACUACCUCACAAGCAUAGUGUUUUACUUUUAGAAAUUAUCUCCCCAGUGGCUCGCUCACAUUAACCCUCAGGAGGUAGGGUUCCAGUGUCGUCACUGUAGUGGACAUUUGUUCUCUGUGGCUUCCUGGUACCCACACUUUCCUGACUUGUCUGCCGGAGGCAAGGCCAGCGGUGCCUUCACAGGACCCAUCCUGUGGUGUGUCAUUUUCAGAUCCUCCAUCAGUCUUACUCCUCUUAGAUUUCCUUAGGUUUUAAAUUGGUAUCUGGAUUGGAAUAGGCUAAAUCCUGUACACUAGUGGUGGAAAAUUACCUUUACACAUUUUGUUCCCAUCCAGAAACCUACCUUCCACUGAUUAGAGUAUUCUGAGUACUUGUUUUUCUAAUUUUCUUCAGGUAAAUUCUACACAAAACAAAGUUUUGUUUUUGAAAGUAGGUUUUUUUUCCCAUUGUAUUUCUCUAGUUGGUUGUUGCUCUUGCAUAGGAAAGUUAUUCUUAAUUAUAUAUUUGCAAAACUAGCUACUUCUCUGAAUGUAAUUUUCAGUAAUUUCUUGGUUCUGUUAAAAUUUGUGAUUAAAAAUUAUACCAUCUAUAAA
Capra hircus (goat) is the source of this 2393-nucleotide RNA transcript. It is a transcript of the gene named zinc finger protein 200 pseudogene, with no coding region annotated. The record is from RefSeq and is a predicted model, not a curated record. The transcript has 2 exons. Lineage: Eukaryota; Metazoa; Chordata; Mammalia; Artiodactyla; Bovidae.